This 69-nucleotide transfer RNA is filed under the name Ovis aries (sheep). It matches the Rfam family "tRNA". From Rfam's summary of the family: Transfer RNA (tRNA) molecules are approximately 80 nucleotides in length. Their secondary structure includes four short double-helical elements and three loops (D, anti-codon, and T loops). Lineage: Eukaryota; Metazoa; Chordata; Mammalia; Artiodactyla; Bovidae. The record is from Rfam by way of RNAcentral.
UCCCUGGUGGCUCAGAUGGUAAAGCUGCCUGCAAUGCGGGAGACCCGGGUUCGAUUCCUGGCUUGGGAA